This 775-nucleotide ribosomal RNA is filed under the name uncultured Neocallimastigales. RNAcentral describes it as "partial large subunit ribosomal RNA". It matches the Rfam family "Eukaryotic large subunit ribosomal RNA", at positions 26 to 628 of the family's 3401-position model. The record is from RNAcentral. Lineage: Eukaryota; Fungi; Neocallimastigomycota; Neocallimastigomycetes; Neocallimastigales.
CGCAUCUGUGCAUGCAGCAUAUCAAUAAGCGGAGGAAAAGAAACUAACAAGGAUUCCCCUAGUAACGGCGAGUGAAGCGGGAAGAGCUCAAAUUUGAAAUCUUAAAGGGUUUCCCUUUACGAAUUGUAGUUUAAAGAAGUGUUUUCUGUUGAGGUUUUGGUAAAAGUUCUUUGGAAUAGGACAUCAUAGAGGGUGAGAAUCCCGUAUUUGACCUUUACUUUCAACUUUGUGAUACACUUUCAAAGAGUCGGAUUGUUUGGGAAUGCAGUCCAAAAUGGGUGGUAAAUUUCAUCUAAAGCUAAAUAUUGGCGAGAGACCGAUAGCGAACAAGUACCGUGAGGGAAAGAUGAAAAGAACUUUGAAAAGAGAGUUAAACAGUACGUGAAAUUGUCAAAAGGGAAGCGUUUGACACCAGUGUUGUUUUUCUGAAAAUCAAUUAAAGAACUGUUUAUGCUAAGCUGUUUAGACUUUAUCAGCUAUCUGUUUAGUUUUGAGCUUUUCUUUAAUGCACUUUUCAGUUAACAAGUCAACAUCAAUUUCUUUUGCUGUAAAAAAGCUUGAGGAAGGUGGCUUGAGAUUCGUCUUAAGUGUUUAUAGCCUCUUGCCUAUGCAGUCGGAGAGAUUGAGGUCUGCAGGCGUAGAUCCUUCGGGGCUAAAUGCAUUUGUGCUAAGUUAUAGCAUUUUAUAGACAACUUGUUGACUAUGAUUUGUCUUGUAGCUUACUCGCUUAUGUUAUUUUACCUACGCUUAGGAUGUUGAGUCGUAGAGCACGCAG